GGACGGGCGGCCGUGAGCUCACGGGGCUGUCCUCGUGAGCUCGGAGGACAGGGGGGACCCCCCGAACCAGGCUGGCCGCGGGAGCUGCACUCACCCCGAGUCGAGGCCGCCGGACGCUUCCCAGAGGAAGCCGAAUAGUGCAAGCCGGAGGAGAAGCCAGCGACCCGUGGAGGUCGCCAUAUUGGACCGGGGCCUCGGGUCAUGUGGGCUCGCCUCACGUGACUCAAGUCCCAGGGUGGCCGCUUUCAGCUCGGACUGAAUUACCUGCGCUCUUUUCGGCUGGCGGGCUGGCGGGCUGGCGGGCGGUGCUGGUGAUGUUAACUUUUUAUCUCCAGUCAUUUCACCCUCUCCCUGGUUUGGUAACUGAAGCCUUCUGAAAUGAACCAGUGUUAGGCUCCAGUGAGGACUCCAUCCCCAAUUCAGGAAGCACAGAAGUGGAGUAUAAUCCCCCCGAUUUGUUUAUGUGCGGUUGACUUCUCUCAAGGUGGUGUGCCUGUUUGGGAAAACUUUUGUUUGCAAGACAAUGUGAAAGAAAUCCUUAAAGCUCACGGACUGCCGGGUGGAUAUGACAUUCUGGCCCUUGGUUCCCCCAAGAAAACAGCAACUUGCAGAAAGCAAGUCAAACUUGUCAGCAGAAUCCAGGGAUGUUCCUCGAGGCCUGACAACUUAAGAGCAAUCACGGGAAGGCAUUCAGAGGACCACAGCAGAGGAUCAGGUCAAGGGAAGCCUACCUCCUAAAGGAAAGAUCGAGAAGAACCAUGCGCCCCACUACCCACCGGGGCUGCUCAGCUGGGCACAGAAGCAGCCAAGGAUAUUUUCAUUCGGAUGCUCACAUAUGACUGAGUUGCCACAUGAGGAUGAUCCGUGGCGAUUUUCCACCUUGAGGCAAAGCAGGACAAUGCGUGUAAAGAGGCUUGCAGCCCCGGGACCGGGUUUUCAGCUGGUUUUUCUACCCCAGAGUCUAAUGCGUGCAGGCUGUCAUCAGCACCACAGACAGCACCAGAACCCAUAAUAACGUCCCAGAAGGUUUUAUUGCUAAAUUAGUGUCAGAGCUCCAGGGAACACAUUCAGAUAUAGUCACACUGAGUCAGAGCUCGAGGGAAGAGCUGUAAGCUGGGAACCAGAGAACCGAUGACAAGGCAGCAGCCUCUUCUGGCAGCUUCCGGAGGAGCCCCCAGUUAAUGGGACGUCAUCACUUGAGGCAGCAGGUAACGUUUACUUGGCACUUAGUAUGUUACGGGCACCAUUUCCAGUAUUCUAGAAACACAAUACUCACAGCAGUGGAGGUAACAUUGAGGUAGGGGCUGGGUUUUGUUUUUUUUUUGACUCCCACUCUGUUACCCAGGCUGGAGUGCAGUGGUGCAAUCAUACCUCACUGCAGCCUUGAACUCCUGGGCUCAAGUGAUCCUCCCUCCUCAAGUGAGCCUCCCGAGUAGCUGGGACUACAGGUGUUCACUAGUGCACCCAGUGAGGGUUGGUGGGGAGGUGUCUCGUUAUGUUGCCCAGGCUGGUCUCGAACUUCUGAAUCCAAGCGAUCCUCCCACCUCAGCCUCCCAAAGUGCUGGGAUUAUAGAGGCGGGCCACUGUGCCCUUCCAAGGUAGGGGUUAUUAUUAUCACAAUUUUACUGAUGAGAAAACUGAGUCCCAGAGAAGUUGGUGACUGCUCAAGGACACAGACAGCUAGGACUUGAAUUCAGGCAGCCUGGCCACAGAACCACACCAUCAACCGCUAUGCUAUACUGUGUUUUGUAAAAUGACAUGAUGGCCAUGUGAUACAAUGUAAUGAUACAGCAGAGUUUUGUGCUCAGGAUGUAAAAAUGAGUAUGUGCUGCCUUUCAUGGUUAUCUGUUGAGUUCUGGCUCAUGACCUGAACUAUUUUUUCCAAGACCCUUCCUUCUCCCACUGGGAAAGAUACUAUAUUUGGUAACUGAACAAAUAGCCUUUAAGAUAUCAGUUUAUGGGUCUUUUUAGAAUUUGUGGCUGGGUGCAGUGGCUCAUGCCUGUAAUCCCAGCACUUUGGGAGGACAAGGCAAGAGGAUCACUUGAGGCCGGGAGUUCGAGACCAGCCAAGUCCAUGUAGUGAGACCCCCAUCUCUACAAAAAAUUUAAAAGUUAGCUUGGCAUGGUGGCACACACCUGUUGUCCCAGCUACUCAGGAGGCGAGAUGGGAAGAUUGCUGAGCCCAGGAGUUUGAGGCUGCAGUGAGCCUAGGUGACAGAGCAGGACCUCACCUAUUAAUUAAAAAAAAAAAAAAGAAAGAAAAGAAAAAAGAAUUUGUGUUGAGUGGGAUUGGAGAGUCGAAACAGACCAAGAGGUUGUCCAAGGUUGUCCUCAAAGCUGAGAAACAAGACUCAACCCUGGGUCAGUUGCAGUUGAAUUUUAUUCAUCCGUUCACACCUGGGUCCCUCCCGGCCCCCACCUACCCUGGCCCUGCCUACUCAGGGCUUCCAAGAUGGGGUGUCGGGGUGGCUUUGCUUAUCCUCCAGAUGCCUUCUUCCCAGGAUGUGAUCCGUGCCCUCCAGGAUGUAAGGGAUGAGGACUAAAGGGGUCUGUUCCUCCUCCAGGUAGCAGGCGUGGAACCAUCUGUCUCAGCGGCUGCUUGGUGGUGGCGGUGUGGAUGGGUGUGGCUCUCUGUUUGCUGGGGGGUAUUCUGCCAGGAUGUACAGGAAGCCACCCAGGGCUGCCACUGCUGUGGCUGUGUUGUGGGAGGAGCAGCCAUCUAGGGGAGAGAGCCCCCAUGAGUGCUGGGUGGCAAGAACCUUGGCCCUUUAUUCAACACAGUCCCAUUGAAAGUGCUUUUCAGCCAGACGCGGUGGCUCACACCUAUAAUCCCACACUUUGGGAGCCUGAGGUGGGCGGAUCACUUGAGAUCAGGAGUUCGAGACCAGCGUGAGCAACAUGAUGAAAC
Molecule: long non-coding RNA, 2908 nt
Filed under: Pan troglodytes (chimpanzee)
Lineage: Eukaryota; Metazoa; Chordata; Mammalia; Primates; Hominidae
Description: long non-coding RNA NONPTRT005901
Source: RNAcentral